UCACAUAAUUUGGAACCAAGCAUGGCUG
RNAcentral lists this small RNA (28 nucleotides) under Bombyx mori (domestic silkworm). RNAcentral's name for it is "ovarian small RNA-25043". The record is from RNAcentral. Lineage: Eukaryota; Metazoa; Arthropoda; Insecta; Lepidoptera; Bombycidae.